Molecule: long non-coding RNA, 439 nt
Filed under: Urocitellus parryii (Arctic ground squirrel)
Lineage: Eukaryota; Metazoa; Chordata; Mammalia; Rodentia; Sciuridae
Description: lncRNA (ENSUPAG00010021585.1)
Source: RNAcentral
GUGUCAGGAUGGCUGCCACAGCUCCUGUUUCUGCCUCCCUGGCUGCUCCCGAACCCCGUGCCCAGGACCGAGCACAGCGUCGGACCCGAGCGCACACAGGACCAGAACCGCCUGUCCUGGYUACCUCCCCGCCCUCCGCCCCAGCUGCUGCUCUUAACCCACCUCGCUCCUGUCCCCUAGGAGGACGCCAUCKCCCCCAAGCAGUGCAGACACUCGGCUCCCACCGAUAUCCCUGGCCUGUCCUCGGGCAGAGAUUUGGAGGCCGCUCUCCGGGGUCAACCACACAAGCUUAGUGUCCAUCCACUACCCUUUCCUGGCCGUGAACAAGACCCCGGAGCCUGGUCCAGAGGGUGGAGGGAAAGUCAGAGUGCUGGAUCGUGGCCCACCCUGCCUCGGGGACCUCACUCCCCGUCCCCCCGCMGGCUGUCCCCGCGGCUCU